RNAcentral lists this ribosomal RNA (531 nucleotides) under uncultured bacterium. Its description in RNAcentral is "partial 16S ribosomal RNA". It matches the Rfam family "Bacterial small subunit ribosomal RNA", at positions 355 to 879 of the family's 1533-position model. The record is from RNAcentral.
UGGGGAAUUUUGGACAAUGGGGGCAACCCUGAUCCAGCAAUGCCGCGUGUGUGAAGAAGGCCUUCGGGUUGUAAAGCACUUUUGUCCGGAAAGAAAACGCCGUGGUUAAUACCCGUGGCGGAUGACGGUACCGGAAGAAUAAGCACCGGCUAACUACGUGCCAGCAGCCGCGGUAAUACGUAGGGUGCAAGCGUUAAUCGGAAUUACUGGGCGUAAAGCGUGCGCAGGCGGUCCGCUAAGACAGAUGUGAAAUCCCCGGGCUUAACCUGGGAACUGCAUUUGUGACUGGCGGGCUAGAGUAUGGCAGAGGGGGGUAGAAUUCCACGUGUAGCAGUGAAAUGCGUAGAGAUGUGGAGGAAUACCGAUGGCGAAGGCAGCCCCCUGGGCCAAUACUGACGCUCAUGCACGAAAGCGUGGGGAGCAAACAGGAUUAGAUACCCUGGUAGUCCACGCCCUAAACGAUGUCAACUAGUUGUUGGGGAUUCAUUUCCUUAGUAACGUAGCUAACGCGUGAAGUUGACCGCCUGGGGA